GUCCACGCCCUAAACGAUGUCAACUAGGUGUUGGGAGCGCAAGUUCUCAGUACCGCAGCUAACGCGUGAAGUUGACCGCCUGGGGAGUACGGUCGCAAGAUUAAAACUCAAAGGAAUUGACGGGGACCCCGCACAAGCGGUGGAUGAUGUGGAUUAAUUCGAUGCAACGCGAACAACCUUACCUACCCUUGACAUGUCUGGGACCCUGCUGAAAGGCGGUGGUGCCCGAAAGGGAACCGGAACACAGGUGCUGCAUGGCUGUCGU
This 265-nucleotide ribosomal RNA is filed under the name uncultured bacterium. RNAcentral's name for it is "partial 16S ribosomal RNA". It matches the Rfam family "Bacterial small subunit ribosomal RNA", at positions 793 to 1055 of the family's 1533-position model. The record is from RNAcentral.